AUGCCUAAGGGCAUAUCGGUUGAAGUAGAUUCUUCUUUUCUCUCAAAAAACCCCUUCCCAAACUAUACAAGCUUCUUCCAAAGCAUAUGGCCUUCUAGAUGUAUAUGACGAUCUCUAGACAGAUGGAUCUUAUAUGAAUCAUAUGAUGAACUACCACAUGAGUGGAUAUAUAGGAGAGGAAUCCAAAUCUGUCGAAUCACUCAUGUUAUGAUCUUCUACAUCCUAGGUCUCUGCGUUCUCCGACCGGGCCGCUGCGCCUGGUAA
RNAcentral lists this ribosomal RNA (264 nucleotides) under Triticum aestivum (bread wheat). RNAcentral's name for it is "partial small subunit ribosomal RNA". Lineage: Eukaryota; Viridiplantae; Streptophyta; Magnoliopsida; Poales; Poaceae. The record is from RNAcentral.